GGUGCACGCCGCGUGAGGGAUGAAGGCCUCUGGGCUGUAAACCUCUUUUAUCAAGGAAGAAGAUCUGACGGUACUUGAUGAAUAAGCCACGGCUAAUUCCGUGCCAGCAGCCGCGGUAAUACGGGAGUGGCAAGCGUUAUCCGGAAUUAUUGGGCGUAAAGCGUCCGCAGGCGGUCUUUUAAGUCUGUCGUCAAAGCGUGGAGUUUAACUCCAUUUCUGCGAUGGAAACUGGAAGACUAGAGUGUGGUACGGGCAGAGGGAAUUCCCGGUGUAGCGGUGAAAUGCGUAGAUAUCGGGAAGAACACCAGUGGCGAAGGCGCUCUGCUGGGCCAUAACUGACGCUCAUGGACGAAAGCCAGGGGAGCGAAAGGGAUUAGAUACCCCUGUAGUCCUGGCCGUAAACGAUGAACACUAGGUGUCGGGGGAAUCGAACCCCUCGGUGUCGUAGCCAACGCGUUAAGUGUUCCGCCUGGGGAGUACGCACGCAAGUGUGAAACUCAAAGGAAUUGACGGGGGCCCGCACAAGCGGUGGAGUA
Molecule: ribosomal RNA, 536 nt
Filed under: uncultured bacterium
Lineage: Bacteria
Description: bacterial SSU rRNA
Rfam family: Bacterial small subunit ribosomal RNA
Source: RNAcentral